CGGAAUGCUGUGAUGGGAUGAUGAGCUGCUUGUGCGUAAAAUCGUAUCCCCUCAGAGUUUGUUCAAGUCCACAAACCUCUGUCUGUGACGGAGCCCUCAGACAUGUCUCCUCUAGUCACUAGCAGAUUCCGACAGUGGUUGCUUUCGUAAUCGCUUCCAACAUAAAAGCUCCUUAACGGAAACACGUCUUCUGGACUCCCUGCGUGACAGUUUCCGGCGAGGAGUGGGUGUUCUUACAGGAGUCCCUGAAACCUCCCCACUGUUUUCGCUGGAAGUGUCUCUGAGCCAUCCCUCCAGCUCAGCUCCUCUCUCCCUGCUGGUUCCCUCUUCAGCUGCUGCGUCUCUCCCAACCUGUGUGAGCCCUUUCACCUCCCUGCUGGUUCCCUCUUCAGCUGCUGCGUCUCUCCCAACCUGUGUGAGCCCUUUCACCUCCCUGCUGGUUCCCUCUUCAGCUGCUGCGUCUCUCCCAACCUGUGUGAGCCCUUUCACCUCCCUUCCGUCCGAUGGCAGUUCCCUGACAAAGCUGAAAGAAUGGCACUGCAAAAGCCUGAAAUUCUGAUGCAGCCCUUUAAUUCUCAUUUGAUUUCACUGUCAUGGGUGCCGAGCACCUCAUACAACCCUGGCCACAUAUUUUGCAAACCUACAGAUAUGACGAGUCUUUUUCGGUGUGAUGAGUAACCUGAUUUUCCAGUAUCUUUGUGCAAAAACAAAGCUAUAUACUUAUAUCGAGAGAACAUAUGCAUGCUGUAUUUUGCUGCAAUGCUUUUGUGUGUAUGUGUGUGUGUAAAACAGGAAAUAAUAAAUACCUGUGAGGUUGUCACUACAAAACAAAUAUGACAGUUCCUUUCUUUGCUCAUAUUCAAUUCAAUUUCCGCAAUGAAAGUUUAUUUAGGGAAAAUAGGUAAAUGUUACUAGUCUUGCUUAAAAUCAGUAAAUUAGCUUGCUAUGCAUCCAUCCUCCUCCCCCAAGGGUAGCCAUUUAUCUUACCUGACAGCAGGGGCGGAUUUUGGUAACAUGGCACUCUGAGCAAGGACUGAAUUUGGUGCCUCUCACCCCUGCCUUCCGUUCUGCACAUGCUCUCAAGUGCACCACAUCAUACUUGUGACAACUCUGACCAGAGGCCUAACUUUGAGUAGGUAGGCAUAUAAAUAUAGGUAUUAUUAUUAUUUUGCGUUCCUCUCAGCUUGACGCCUGGGAGUGGGGGCAGGAAACAGCCUGCACCACCUAAAAUUUGGUGCUGCUCACAGUACUGCCAAGAGGACAAAUCCUCUUUUUGAAGGUGUGCUCUAAUUGGAGGGCUGGCUAGUCCAAGCCUGGUUUAAAGAUAAGGAACCAUCAAAAGGGAGAGCAGGAGCCUCAAAAUUGACUGAGCAGGCACACAAUUCACCUGAUGUCUUCCCCCACUGUGGUGAGAUGUAUUGCAUUUCUACUUCAAUUACAGUAGUUAUUUCUAAAUGUACACCUGUGCAC
Podarcis lilfordi (Lilford's wall lizard) is the source of this 1470-nucleotide non-coding RNA. NCBI's taxonomy places the organism in Eukaryota, Metazoa, Chordata, Lepidosauria, Squamata, Lacertidae. The record is from the annotation of a GenBank genome assembly.